GUUACUGGUUCCAUACACCACAAAAUGCUUACAAAUCUACAGUUCACAAGAAUCCGCGGAUCAUAUGAAGGAGGGAGGAACUACAACAGACGCACUUCUGUUACUAAUCUAAACAAACAAAAUAUACAAAAUGAAGACACAAGACUACAACAAAAACCGAGCUGCAACACAGGAUCGGUUCGUCGGGUAAGUUAAUGCCAACUUACUACACUAGAGCUGUACAAUGCCUAAGAGAACUGCUAUUGAUGCAUAUCAGUUACCUCUAGACCGCAGCUACACAAACUAUGGGAAUGCACAUUCUUGUCCUUGCUCCCUACCUUUUAAUAAACCUGUGACCUACCAUUUUCUAUGUGGUAAACUGUACUUCAUAAACUUAUUAAUGUUACUGUUAAUGGUAUCAUCUUCCUAGGAUGACGGUAUUUGGAUUGAUGCUACUUGCUCUCCAGGAUGCUGCAUCGCUACAAAUCAUCAGUCAUUCACAUGAUAGCCUUUCUGCUGGUUUACUUCCCUCCAGCCGACUUCCCUGCUCGUUGUUUCCACGUGCUAAGUAGCUCAUCGUCGGAUAAUUCUUCAUCAGAUUUGGCAGCCGAGCUACUUCCAGAGUCGCCUUGAUCAGUUGAAUGACUGUCUGCAUCAUCUCUUACACUCCCAUGAGAAUCUGAUCUUUCAGCAUCAUCAUUUGACUUCUCUGUGGAACCAUCUGCAUGUGGUUUCUCAUGUGAAGAAGAGAUCUCCCUGUCUGAUCCACGAGAAUCCUGAGGGGUGCCAAGUUCAUCCUCAUCUUUAUUUUCCACGGGACAUUCUUCUUCUUCAGACUCCUCCAUACCACUCAAUCUAUCAGCAUCAGCCCCGGGUUUCCCAUCAAAGUAUGCUAUGUCAUCCUUGUCAGACAGUUCAUGUUCAGACAAGCUGAACUCAUGCGUGCUUUCUUUCUGCUCACUUUCUGAUUCACCUGAGCUUAAAUUGUCCGCCUUGGACUUUGAGGUUAUCAACGGCUUGCCUAAAAGCAGGCUUCUUCUGCUCAAAGAAGAUUUUGAUGGACCUUUUUGUCCAUACUUCAAAUUCUUCCUUGGAGUUCUCUUCCCUCGUACUGGCGAUAAUGGAGACAUCUUAUCGGUCUCCUUCUUUUGCCUGGAGGCAGCAAGAGUUCUUUUUUUCCUCUCUCCAGAUUCUUUCUUGGAGCCUGAACCCUUUUUGGAAUUUGAACCCUUCACAGGUUUCUGCACACCACCAACAAGCUCCCAACACUCCUUUUCCAAUCGCAGGACUUCUACAUCACCAUCAUCAUAUAGCACAACGUGUUUGCUUUUAUGAGUGUCAAAAGACUUGACAACACCUUCGUAGAAUUUCUUAUCCAUGGGCCACCAAAUUUUUAUUCUGCAACCAAUCAAGUCCACAGUGGGAGUUGUAUCAACCUUUGCCGUGCACUUAGCCAGUCCAGAUACACUUUUCUUCUUUGAUUUCUUAUGAGAUCCAGACUUGUUAUUACCUUGCAUAUGUGUAUUAACUGCUUCUCUGUUUCCUUUAAUUUUUUUCACUUCACGGCUGUCCAUUCCAAUUUCACAAGUGUCAUCAUGAUUCUUAUCAGUAGCUUUACGCUUUUGUCUAGGUGGGAGACUUGUUUUCUUCCUGAUAGAUGAUGUUAAUAGGUCCGACUCUUCAGGUUCAAAAACAUUUUCCUCCGAGGACUUAUCUUCUGACAUGGAUUGAAGAUCCUCCUCCUUUUCAAUGGACUCCUCGAGUUUCGAAGAAAGUUUAUGGACUGAAGAAGAAGAUGACCUUUGUCGCUUUGCACCUUUUGGUACAGAAAUAUCAGUUCCUCUUUUCUGACGUUUAUUGCUGGCUUUAGUUUUGACUGCAGAUUCAUGGCCAUUGCUUGCAUCCAACUUAUUAUCAUCAACAACAUUAUUUGAAUCUAUCUCCCUCACCAUUUUCAAGAUGUCAACAUCAUUUUCAGUUCUCACCUCAGCAGGUGAAGAGUCGUCCUUCAACUCUUUCCUCAUCUUAGAUCUAGCUUUAAGCCGUUCCAUUAUUUUUCCUAAAGGAACCUCAUUUCCUUCAGUUUCACUGUCUUUCAUGGUUUCGUCUUCAGUGAUCUCUGACUUCAGUGUUCCGUUAGUUUCAAACUUGAUUGAUUCAAAGUGAGCCAUGAUGCCCUCAUCUGCCAACCAUGUCUUAACUUCAACCAGAGACUGGUCUUUCUCUUCAUUCUUCUCAUGUUGUUUGUAUAGCGAUGGAGGUAGUGAUACUGAUGCUUUCAACUCCUUAAGAUCAUCAUGGUUAGGAACUAACCGAUUUGUAAUUGCCAGGCCAAGGUCUGAGACAGCAUAUGAGUUCUUUGAUUUUGUGGAAUCUACUGCAUCUUCUGAAUGUUUUAUACUGUGAAGGAUAGACUUAAUCGUUGAAAUGCUUUCCUUCUCUCUGCUAAUACCACCUUCAGGUUUCCCCUCUUCAUCUCCAUGCACCAACAUUGAGAGGAAAACGUACAAUUGCCUAUAAGUAGGCUCAAAUGCUUUAACA
Molecule: unclassified non-coding RNA, 2520 nt
Filed under: Hevea brasiliensis (rubber tree)
Lineage: Eukaryota; Viridiplantae; Streptophyta; Magnoliopsida; Malpighiales; Euphorbiaceae
Source: RNAcentral